GGCCCUGCGCCGCGUCCGGGGCUCGGGCUGCUCGUCUGCCGGCGGCGGCGGCGGGGGCUGGGGCAGCGGCAGCGGCGGCGCGGGGGGC
Molecule: microRNA precursor, 88 nt
Filed under: Chlorocebus sabaeus (green monkey)
Lineage: Eukaryota; Metazoa; Chordata; Mammalia; Primates; Cercopithecidae
Description: miRNA (ENSCSAG00000027809.1)
Source: RNAcentral